UCCCUGGUGGCUCAGUGCAUUAAGAAUCCAGCAUUGUCAAUGCUGUGGCCAGGGUUCAAUCCCUUCCCAGGGGA
This 74-nucleotide transfer RNA is filed under the name Sus scrofa (pig). It matches the Rfam family "tRNA". Rfam says of the family: Transfer RNA (tRNA) molecules are approximately 80 nucleotides in length. The record is from Rfam by way of RNAcentral. Lineage: Eukaryota; Metazoa; Chordata; Mammalia; Artiodactyla; Suidae.